RNAcentral lists this ribosomal RNA (429 nucleotides) under Gemmatimonadota bacterium. Its description in RNAcentral is "Gemmatimonadetes bacterium partial 16S ribosomal RNA". It matches the Rfam family "Bacterial small subunit ribosomal RNA", at positions 355 to 776 of the family's 1533-position model. Lineage: Bacteria; Pseudomonadati; Gemmatimonadota. The record is from RNAcentral.
UAGGGAAUCUUCGGCAAUGGACGAAAGUCUGACCGAGCAACGCCGCGUGAGUGAAGAAGGUUUUCGGAUCGUAAAACUCUGUUGUUAGAGAAGAACAAGGACGUUAGUAACUGAACGUCCCCUGACGGUAUCUAACCAGAAAGCCACGGCUAACUACGUGCCAGCAGCCGCGGUAAUACGUAGGUGGCAAGCGUUGUCCGGAUUUAUUGGGCGUAAAGCGAGCGCAGGCGGUUUCUUAAGUCUGAUGUGAAAGCCCCCGGCUCAACCGGGGAGGGUCAUUGGAAACUGUGAGACUUGAGUGCAGAAGAGGGGAGUGGAAUUCCAUGUGUAGCGGUGAAAUGCGUGGAUAUAUGGAGGAACACCAGUGGCGAAGGCGGCUCUCUGGUCUGUAACGGACGCUGAGGCUCGAAAGCGUGGGGAGCAAACAGG